Molecule: ribosomal RNA, 468 nt
Filed under: uncultured bacterium
Lineage: Bacteria
Description: partial 16S ribosomal RNA
Rfam family: Bacterial small subunit ribosomal RNA
Source: RNAcentral
GACGAACGCUGGCGGCGUGCUUAACACAUGCAAGUCGAACGGAAAGGCCCUGCUUUUGUGGGGUGCUCGAGUGGCGAACGGGUGAGUAACACGUGAGUAACCUGCGCUUGACUUUGGGAUAACUUCAGGAAACUGGGGCUAAUACCGGAUAGGAGCUCCUGCUGCAUGGUGGGGGUUGGAAAGUUUCGGCGGUUGGGGAUGGACUCGCGGCUUAUCAGCUUGUUGGUGGGGUAGUGGCUUACCAAGGCUUUGACGGGUAGCCGGCCUGAGAGGGUGACCGGCCACAUUGGGACUGAGAGACGGCCCAGACUCCAACGGGAGGCAGCGGUGGGGAAUAUUGCACAGUGGGCGGAAGCCUGAUGCAGCAACGCCGCGUGCGUGAUGACGUCCUUCGGGUUGUAAACCGCUGUCGCCUGUGACGAAGCGUGAGUGACGGUAAUGGGUAAAGAAGCACCGGCUAACUACGUG